This 318-nucleotide ribosomal RNA is filed under the name uncultured bacterium. RNAcentral describes it as "bacterial SSU rRNA". It matches the Rfam family "Bacterial small subunit ribosomal RNA", at positions 42 to 334 of the family's 1533-position model. The record is from RNAcentral.
GACGACGCUGCGCGUGCCUAAUACAUGCAAGUCGAACGAACUGACGCGUGGAGCUUGUUCCAGUUGACGUAAGUGGCGAACGGGUGAGUAACACGUGGGGAACCUACCCUUCAGCGGGGGAUAACCGUCGGAAACGAUGGCUAAUACCACAUAACACUUUGUACCACAUGGUACGAAGUUAAAAGACGGCUUCGGCUGUCACUGAAGGAUGGUCCCGCGGUGCAUUAGCUAGUUGGUAGGGUAAAGGCCUACCAAGGCGAUGAUGCAUAGCCGACCUGAGAGGGCGAUCGGCCACAUUGGGACUGAGACACGGCCCAA